RNAcentral lists this transfer RNA (64 nucleotides) under Mordellidae sp. 4 ACP-2013. Its description in RNAcentral is "tRNA-Asp". The record is from RNAcentral. Lineage: Eukaryota; Metazoa; Arthropoda; Insecta; Coleoptera; Mordellidae.
GAAAAACUUAGUUAAUGAAUAACACUAGAAUGUCAACCUAGAAUUAAUAAUAAUAUUAGUUUUU